UACGUAGGGUGCGAGCGUUAAUCGGAAUUACUGGGCGUAAAGUGUGCGCAGGCGGCGCCGCAAGUCGAGUGUGAAAGCCCCGAGCUUAGCUUGGGAAUUGCGCUCGAAACUAUGGUGCUGGAGUGUGGCAGAGGAAGGUGGAAUUCCACGUGUAGCGGUGAAAUGCGUAGAGAUGUGGAGGAACACCGAUGGCGAAGGCAGCCUUCUGGGCCAACACUGACGCUCAUGCACGAAAGCGUGGGGAGCAAACAGG
RNAcentral lists this ribosomal RNA (253 nucleotides) under uncultured bacterium. Its description in RNAcentral is "partial 16S ribosomal RNA". It matches the Rfam family "Bacterial small subunit ribosomal RNA", at positions 524 to 776 of the family's 1533-position model. The record is from RNAcentral.